AAAUCCUAAUUUUUUUGGUCACAUUUUGGUCAGAGAACAUGUUCUAUAUGAUGUAGAUGUUUUUUGAGACUUUUUUGGUGGCUUAGUCCAUUAUGAAUUUUGUAAAUUCAUAAUUCUAUGUGUGAUUGAAAAAAAUGUGACUUUUCUAACUACUGUUUGUUCUAUAUGUGGCCAUUGAAUCAAUUAUUGAGAAACAUAAGUUAAAAUUCCUUACUAAAAUUGUGGAUUUCUAGGUUCUUUCCAGUAAAUCUACCCUUUGUUGUUGUUGUUUUGAGGCUAUGUUGCUAGGUGCAUAAAGGUUCAAAAUUGUUCUAUCUUCCUGGUGAAUUGUCCUUUUCGUUAUAAAGCAAUAACCCUUUUUAUCCCUAAUAAUUCCUCCCUUUUACCACUUAAAAUGACUUUUUUUGGUAGUUAUAUGUUUAUAUUAAGUUUUGCUGUUGUGAUUAUUAGUAUUUUUCAGAUAUUUCCCCCACUUUUUUACUUUUAAUUUUUGUUGUUCUUGUUUUGUUUUGUUUUUAGAGAUGGGGUCUUGCUUUGUUACACAGGCUAGAGUGCAAUGAUCAUGACCAUAGCUCACUACAGCCUCAAACUCUUGGGCUCUAGCAAUCAUCUCUCCUCAGCCUCCCAAACAGCUGGGACUACAGGCAUGCACCGAAGCUUUAUUUUCAAAAUAUAAUUUGUGCUGAUGCUGGUGAUUCUGAUGUUCGUGUGUACAUUGUCCCUGACAUCCAUGCCACAAGCGCUGCAUGGCUAACAGCAAUUUUGAUAUGCCAUCAACUGAAAUAUACAUUCCGAUUUCAGAAAUGUUAAAAUGUGAACAAAUGUACACCUCAGAAUUGAUGAAAUGUUGUGAUACUUUACAUAUAAAAAUAUAAAAGGUAUUUUUAUGCUUUCUUCUGCUCUCCCUUGGACAGACCUUUUUUCUGUACUAUUUCUCUUUCCUUUCCUGCCUUUCAGUAGAUUGAUCAGUUUUCUUUAGUCUCCUUUACUGGACCGGAAGUUACUCAUUUUAUUUUUAUUCUUUUUUCAGUGACCUUUAAAUUUUUAACAUCCAUAUUUGACUUGGCAAGUCUAAUCAAUAUCUCUAUUGGCCUCUUUAAUAAUUCACCAAAUUGAUUGCUUUGAGUCUACUCCCUUCUCAUCUUAUAUAUUUUUGUUUCCUGAUAUCAUAGUUUCAACUUGUUUUUAAUCAUCCAAGCUGGUCAUCAUUAUUAUUAUUGUUCUGAUUUUUUUAUGAUCAGUACUUACUCAGAUUUACCCAUAUGUCUAAUAAUGUUCUUUCUUAAGUUUACUUUGUAUAUUUCACUUCAUUCUUCUGAGUUCACUUUCCUUCUUCCUGAGAUUCAUCUUUUAGCCUGAAAAUGUCUGUACGAUGCCCUCACUCUUAAAUGAUAGCUUCAAUGGAUAUAGAAUUCUUGCAGGAGGGUAGCCGGGGGAGGCUACAUGGUUUCUGAUACUAGGUGUGUAGCAUAGAUCAGGUUCUAAACCUUCCCAUGUCCUUGGUUUUAAAAUAAGCUCAUUAUUGUUGUCCCCUGAUCAGGUUAGGAGGCAGGGAUUUUCUCAUUCUCUGUUCACUGAGAUCGAAGCCUUUCCAUGGUUCUGCUUAAUUCCACAUGUCAGUCCCACUUGACAAGUGUAAUGGGCCCACUUCCUUGCCUUCCAUCACUGUUCAACCCUCUGCCUUUAGGCCCCUCUUUCUUGCUUGCUGUUGGGGAUUUCUCUUUCCAUCUUCUGAGUUCAGGUUUGCAUUAAAUUUUUAUCUUGUAUUUUUAGGUGUUUUGGGGCAGGAAUGUUUCUGCAUUAUCAGCCCAGUCUGUCUCUAUGGGACCCUCUAAGAACACUGCAUUUUUUUUUCUUUUCUCAAUUUAUAUUUAAAACAGUUAAGACUACCUUAAGAAGUGAUUUUUUUUUCUUUUUUUGAGACAGAGUCUCACUCUGUCACCCAGGCUGGAGUGCAGUGUCACGAUUUCAGCUCACUGCAACCUCUGCCUUCCGGAUUCAAGUAGCUCUCCUGGCUCAGCCUCCCCAGUAGUUGGGAUUACUGGUGUGCACUACUACGCCUGGCUAAUUUUUGUAUUUUUAGUAGAGACGAGGUUUCACCAUGUUGGCCAGGCUGGUCUUGAAGUCCUGAUCUCAGGUGAUCUACCUGCUUUGGCCUCCCAAAGUGCUGGGAUUACAGGCAUGAGCCACAGCACCUGGCCAAAAAGUGAAAUUUGUGUGUUUAUUUUUUUCCAUCUUCUGGUUUCAUGAAACCUUGGCUUUGUGCAAAAUAUGGUUUUUAAGCCACUGUUUUAUUGUAUGGCUUUGAUAUCCAUAGUUAAGUGACUGCUCAGCAUGAGACCUUAGACCUAGAGUGAAUGGAGCAAACUCUAGAUGGCAGUCUCCUGGUGAGGUUUGCCAGCCUUUGGCGGAUCCAUACCUGAGGUAUCAGAUGUUACCUGCAUGGUAGGCACUGGGUGGUCACCCCCUAGGGUAGCUGAUAUGCCUGCCAAUGCACUUCUCCAAGCUGCUCAUUUGUGGAUUCAGAAGGCUAGAGAAGAAAAGGUGGUGGGGAAGAGCAGAUAGUCAGUCAUUCUGUAGAAAGAAGAGAGAACAUCUUUUUGCAUGCUUAUUGGCUGGUUGCAUUUCUUUUUCUUUUCACAUUAGAGGGAAUUACCUGAUAAUUUUUUUAUACUGUGAUAUUGAGGAAAUAACUCUCACAGCCUGCUGGUAUGAGUAUAAAAUGGUAUAGCCAAUUUGACUCUAUCUAUCUUAAUCAGUUGGCUUCUGUUGUGUAAAAGGCCACUCCAAAACCUAGUAGUUUAGAGACAAUAAAUUCUUACUAUUUCCUACACUUUUGGGAGUUGGCUGGGCAGUUCUUCUGGUCUUUGCUAGCGUAACUGAAGCUAGGUCAUAUAGGAUGGCUUCAUUCACUUGUCUGGGAGCAUUGGCAGGCCGGUUGGUUUGGGUGGGUCUCAGCUGGGACACCUUGGCUCUGCUCCAUGUGGGUUCUCACCAUCCAGUAGGCCAGCCCAGGCUUCUGCACACAGAAGCCAUUGUCAUCUCUCAUAUUCUGUUUUUUUUGUUUGUUUUAUUUUGUUUUUUAAUGUCUGUGUUAGAGGGUCUCUUGCAGAUGUGACAUUGUAUAUUAGAUAUAUACAAGAAUGUUUAUUUCAGUGUUUUUGUUUGUUCAUUUGUUUUACAAUACAAGAAAAUUGGAAACUAUGUGAUAUGGUUUGGCUCUGUGUCCCCAUCCAAAUGUCAUCUCAAAUUGUAAUCCCCACAUGUCGGGAGAGUGGGCUGGUGGGAGGUGAUUGGAUCAUGGGGGAUUUCCCUCAUGGUGUUCUCGUGAUAGUGAGCGAGUUCUCAGAGGGUCUGAUGGUUUAAAAGUGAUGAAAGUGAUAAAAGGGUCUGAUGGUUUAAAAGCUGUUCUUAUGACAGUGAGUGAGUUCUCACAGGGUCUGAUGGUGUGGCAGUUCCCCUGUCGCUCUCUCUGUCUCUCCUGCUGCCUUGUGAAGACGUGCUUGCUUCCCCUUUCUGCCAUGAUUGUAAGUUUCCUGAAGCCUCACAGUCAUGCUUCCUGUAAAGCCUAUGGAACUGUGAGCCAAUUAAACCUCUUUUCUUCGUAAA
Long non-coding RNA from Pan troglodytes (chimpanzee), 3609 nucleotides. RefSeq lists it as uncharacterized. NCBI's taxonomy places the organism in Eukaryota, Metazoa, Chordata, Mammalia, Primates, Hominidae. The transcript has 2 exons. The record is from RefSeq and is a predicted model, not a curated record.